This 490-nucleotide ribosomal RNA is filed under the name uncultured bacterium. Its description in RNAcentral is "partial 16S ribosomal RNA". It matches the Rfam family "Bacterial small subunit ribosomal RNA", at positions 30 to 507 of the family's 1533-position model. The record is from RNAcentral.
AUUGAACGCUGGCGGCAGGCCUAACACAUGCAAGUCGAACGGUAACAGGAAGAAGCUUGCUUCUUUGCUGACGAGUGGCGGACGGGUGAGUAAUGUCUGGGAAACUGCCUGAUGGAGGGGGAUAACUACUGGAAACGGUAGCUAACACCGCAUAACGUCGCAAGACCAAAGAGGGGGACCUUCGGGCCUCUUGCCAUCGGAUGUGCCCAGAUGGGAUUAGCUAGUAGGUGGGGUAACGGCUCACCUAGGCGACGAUCCCUAGCUGGUCUGAGAGGAUGACCAGCCACACUGGAACUGAGACACGGUCCAGACUCCUACGGGAGGCAGCAGUGGGGAAUAUUGCACAAAGGGCGCAAGCCUGAUGCAGCCAUGCCGCGUGUAUGAAGAAGGCCUUCGGGUUGUAAAGUACUUUCAGCGGGGAGGAAGGGAGUAAAGUUAAUACCUUUACUCAUUGACGUUACCCGCAGAAGAAGCACCGGCUAACUCCGUG